RNAcentral lists this ribosomal RNA (516 nucleotides) under Triticum aestivum (bread wheat). RNAcentral's name for it is "partial small subunit ribosomal RNA". Lineage: Eukaryota; Viridiplantae; Streptophyta; Magnoliopsida; Poales; Poaceae. The record is from RNAcentral.
AUGGGACGACCUCUCAGUCGAUGGGGAGGGAGCGCGCUUUGUAUGGUGGCUUCAUCGACGAGACGAACGCCGUCCGUAGGAACCUCCAGGCCGUCAGGCUGUGCGGCGGGGGAGCGCACAGUGCCGGCCGUGUCGGCGAGGCCGUUCAGGGUGGCCGCGCCGGCUGUGUCGUCCGUCGAAGAAAACGCACACGGCGUUCAGGCCCAUGGAGGCGAGCGUCUGCUCGCCCUCGGCCGGGCGCUCGGACUUCAAAUAGAGAUGGACGCGGGGUUGGUCCCACUGUUCCUGUGCGCCACGGUCGGGACGACCCAGAUGACAGCCGUCGACCGCGUGGAAGAGCUGGGCGCCGUCGCAGCACCACACGGGGACGCCGCAUGCGCCGGCUCGGCGCUGGUAUGCCCCGAAUUCACCCGCGUGAUCGACGGCGUGGAGGCCGUGGAGUCGUUCAGUAUGAACGCGCCCACAAGUGGCUCGUCUCCAACAAGGCCAGGCAGCAACGACUGCUGCGCCGUGUGA